CCUACGGGUGGCUGCAGUGAGGAAUAUUGGUCAAUGGACGAGAGUCUGAACCAGCCAAGUAGCGUGAAGGAUGACUGCCCUAUGGGUUGUAAACUUCUUUUAUAUGGGAAUAAAAUGUUCCACGUGUGGGAUUUUGUAUGUACCAUAUGAAUAAGGAUCGGCUAACUCCGUGCCAGCAGCCGCGGUAAUACGGAGGCGCCGAGCGUUAUCCGGAUUUAUUGGGUUUAAAGGGGGCGUAGGUGGAUUGUUAAGUCAGUUGUGAAAGUUUGCGGCUCAACCGUAAAAUUGCAGUUGAAACUGGCAGUCUUGAGUACAGUAGAGGUGGGCGGAAUUCGUGGUGUAGCGGUGAAAUGCUUAGAUAUCACGAAGAACUCCGAUUGCGAAGGCAGUUCACUGGACUGCAACUGACACUGAGGCUCGAAAGUGUGGGUAUCAAACAGGAUUAGAUACCCUUGUAGUC
This 460-nucleotide ribosomal RNA is filed under the name uncultured bacterium. Its description in RNAcentral is "partial 16S ribosomal RNA". It matches the Rfam family "Bacterial small subunit ribosomal RNA", at positions 338 to 795 of the family's 1533-position model. The record is from RNAcentral.